GACGAACGCUGGCGGCGUGCCUAACACAUGCAAGUGGAGCGACGAACCGGGCUUCGGCCCGGGGCCAAGCCGCGAACGGGUGAGUAACACGUGGGUAACCUGCCCUGAUGAUUGGGACAACCCGAGGAAACUCGGGCUAAUACCGAAUGUGCCCUCCGACCAUAAGGUCUGCGGGGAAAGGAAGCUUCGGCCUCCGCAUCGGGAUGGGCCCGCGGCGCAUUAGCUUGUUGGUGAGGUAACGGCUCACCAAGGCGACGAUGCGUAGCUGGUCUGAGAGGACGAUCAGCCACACUGGGACUGAGACACGGCCCAGACUCCUACGGGAGGCAACAGUGGGGAAUCUUGCGCAAUGCGCGAAAGCGUGACGCAGCAACGCCGCGUGGGGAAGACGGCCU
This 395-nucleotide ribosomal RNA is filed under the name uncultured bacterium. RNAcentral describes it as "bacterial SSU rRNA". It matches the Rfam family "Bacterial small subunit ribosomal RNA", at positions 28 to 417 of the family's 1533-position model. The record is from RNAcentral.